UGGGGAAUAUUGCACAAUGGGCGCAAGCCUGAUGCAGCCAUGCCGCGUGUAUGAAGAAGGCCUUCGGGUUGUAAAGUACUUUCAGCGAGGAGGAAGGCAUUGUGGUUAAUAACCGCAGUGAUUGACGUUACUCGCAGAAGAAGCACCGGCUAACUCCGUGCCAGCAGCCGCGGUAAUACGGAGGGGGCAAGCGUUAAUCGGAAUUACUGGGCGUAAAGCGCACGCAGGCGGUCUGUCAAGUCGGAUGUGAAAUCCCCGGGCUCAACCUGGGAACUGCAUCCGAAACUGGCAGGCUAGAGUCUUGUAGAGGGGGGUAGAAUUCCAGGUGUAGCGGUGAAAUGCGUAGAGAUCUGGAGGAAUACCGGUGGCGAAGGCGGCCCCCUGGACAAAGACUGACGCUCAGGUGCGAAAGCGUGGGGAGCAAACA
RNAcentral lists this ribosomal RNA (427 nucleotides) under uncultured bacterium. Its description in RNAcentral is "partial 16S ribosomal RNA". It matches the Rfam family "Bacterial small subunit ribosomal RNA", at positions 355 to 774 of the family's 1533-position model. The record is from RNAcentral.